Molecule: RNA transcript, 1059 nt
Organism: Sapajus apella (tufted capuchin)
Lineage: Eukaryota; Metazoa; Chordata; Mammalia; Primates; Cebidae
Exons: 1
Source: RefSeq, a predicted model, not a curated record
GCUCCAGCUUUAAGGUUUGUGAGCCCUUUGGGGGUUCAGGGAGCUGCUUGCCCAAGGUGCACUGUGUGGGGCUUCUGGGGCAAGAGGGAAGGUGACCACCCAGCCCUCCAUAUCCCACUGGAUCUGGCUUACAGGGAGUGGGAAGCCUGUCCUCACCAUCUCCGGGGGUUGUGGCCCCCACCCCAUCCCUACAUGCGCCCCUGGAACCAGCAAGUCUCAGACAAGGAGAGAGGAGGAGGAAGUGGAGGGAACACAGUCUCCAGUUGUAGCAGGUUCCACCCUAUUCCUAUGCUGGGGUAAACAGUGAGUAUUCACUUUUCACUUGUCUUGCUCUUGAGAUUGGGUUAUGGAUUUCAUCCUGUGUCCCCCGACCUGUCCAGGUGAGCAUGAGGGCAGCACCAGGAAGCAGCAGGAGGGCAGCUGGUGCCUCCUUUCCCAGGAGGCUGUGUUGACCGCUGCUCCCCACCCCUACAGAUGAAAGGGCAGGAAGCAGGGAGAGUUGGGGAAGGCAGGAUUGGAAAGACGGGAAAACCAAGACCGCCGCAGAGCUCUCUGUCCUCUCCACCUCUGGUCGCCUGUAGUGAUGUGCCUGUAAUCUUUUUCUCCAUCCAAACCCCUUCCCACAACAAAAGCAGGACUGCCUCCCUGUCUCCCGGGAGUUAGUGACAGCCUUGGGCCUUUGGGUCCCAAAGCAGCCGAUGGGAGUCUCCCUCCAACUCUGGAUAUGGACAGGGACUAGGCCUGGAUAGCUUGCUGUGCCAUGGGGCGGCAGCUCUUCUGGGAAGAACCUGUCCUUGCCUCCCCUCACUGUCUCUCAUUCUGCUUCUCCUCUCCUGAUGAUAAAAGGAAUCUGGCAUUCUACACCUGGACCAUUUGAUUGUUUUAUUUUGGAAUUGGUGUAUAUCAUGAAGCCUUGCUGAACUAAGUUUUGUGUGUAUAUAUUUAAAAAAAAAUCAGUGUUUAAAUAAAAAGACCUAUGUACUUAAUCCUUUAACUCUGCGGAUAGCAUUUGGUAGGUAGUGAUUAACUGUGAAUAAUAAACAUACAAUGAAUUCUUCA